GACGAACGCUGGCGGCGUGCUUAACACAUGCAAGUCGAACGGAAAGGCCCUGCUUUUGUGGGGUGCUCGAGUGGCGAACGGGUGAGUAACACGUGAGUAACCUGCCCUUGACUUUGGGAUAACUUCAGGAAACUGGGGCUAAUACCGGAUAGGAGCUCCUGCUGCAUGGUGGGGGUUGGAAAGUUUCGGCGGUUGGGGAUGGACUCGCGGCUUAUCAGCUUGUUGGUGGGGUAGUGGCUUACCAAGGCUUUGACGGGUAGCCGGCCUGAGAGGGUGACCGGCCACAUUGGGACUGAGAUACGGCCCAGACUCCUACGGGAGGCAGCAGUGGGGAAUAUUGCACAAUGGGAGGAAGCCUGAUGCAGCAACGCCGCGUGCGGGAUGACGGCCUUCGGGUUGUAAACCGCUUUCGCCUGUGACGAAGCGUGAGUGACGGUAAUGGGUAAAGAAGCGCCGGCUAACUACGUG
Molecule: ribosomal RNA, 468 nt
Filed under: uncultured bacterium
Lineage: Bacteria
Description: partial 16S ribosomal RNA
Rfam family: Bacterial small subunit ribosomal RNA
Source: RNAcentral